RNAcentral lists this unclassified non-coding RNA (253 nucleotides) under uncultured Bacillaceae bacterium. Its description in RNAcentral is "contains 16S-23S intergenic spacer region". It matches the Rfam family "Bacterial small subunit ribosomal RNA", at positions 524 to 776 of the family's 1533-position model. The record is from RNAcentral. Lineage: Bacteria; Bacillati; Bacillota; Bacilli; Caryophanales; Bacillaceae.
UACGUAGGUGGCAAGCGUUGUCCGGAAUUAUUGGGCGUAAAGCGCGCGCAGGCGGUCCCUUAAGUCUGAUGUGAAAACCCACGGCUCAACCGUGGAGGGUCAUUGGAAACUGGGAGACUUGAGUACAGAAGAGGAGAGUGGAAUUCAAGGUGUAGCGGUGAAAUGCGUAGAUAUCAGGGGGAACACCGAUGGCGAAGGCAGGUCUCUGGGCCACACCUGACGCUGAGGAGCGAAAGCAUGGGGAGCGAACAGG